AAUCAAAAUAAAAAAAGGGAAGGGAUUUAGGGUUCAAUCACUUGUGACGUUUGGAGUUCUUCUCCCUCCUCUCUCACUCGCGGCGGACCUCCACUGCUUCUCCGAUGAGCUCUUCGCGCGCCACCAUGGAACCAAAGCCUCCAAUCUCGUUUCUCCGCCUCAUCUUCGAUCCAUUUCGUGUAGUCUCGAUUCAAACCCGAAUGGAGUUCAUCCGGCGUGACGUGUGCGAAGAGAAAUUCAGAGAUAUUCGUUGAAUAACAUGAGGUAUCAAACUUCCGCGUUCUCUUUGUUCAAACCGUCAUCCCUGGUUCCGAUUUCGUCCUCUAUUUGAGUUCAAUUCGGACUCGAUGCUUCUUCGACGUCGUGGAGAAGAUGAUUAGUUCAACUGUAAGUCCGGUAUUGUGAAUUCCGAUCGAGGGAGUGUUCGAGACUUGCAAGAAUGGUGAUGUUAUGCGCCCUGAAGGUGAAGAUUGAAUGGUGAAUUGAUGGAUUCUUUUCUCUGAUUUUCUGCAGGGUUUAUUGAAGGUGAAGCUUGAAGAUUGUGAAAGAUGGAACAGAGAUCAUAGAAGGUGAUGGUUAUGGCCGAAGGGUGGAAACCAGGGUGAAGAAGAUGAUGGUUGAAGAAUGGUGGUGAGGAAUGAAUGUGAGGUGUGGAUUUUGUUACAGGUUUUUUGGUUAAAGAUUGUAGAUGAAGAUAGAUGAAGAGAAGUGAAGAAGGAAUGCAAAUGGCAGCGAAGGUAUGGAGAAUUCAGAGAGUGAGAGUCUAGAACAAUGAUCGAAGAUGGAAGAUCAGUUAUAUAGGGGUUUCUCAAGGUUUUAUGGUGAAGUGCAGCGGCUAGUUUGCGUGGCAGCUUGUUGCAUUUACAUGGGCUGAGUUUGAAUGGUGCAGGGACUGUUUCCACGAAGCUGUCAGCUUGAUGAUUUUAUGCAACAGAAUUGCGGUUUAUCGUUUUUGGCAGAGGACCGGUUUCUUAUGGUUCAGUUGCAAGGUUAAAUGUUAGAAUCGGUUCCCAAAAUUGCUAGAAACCAGGGUAUUAGCUUGAUAUAUGAUGAAGAUUGGUGUGUAUCAUCUUGGAGGAUUGAAGAAAUGAAGAGGAAUAGGUUUAGGAUGUCCAAUUGAGUAGAUGGGUCCAAAAGGUCAAUAGUCAACAAUUCUAGAAUGUAUUUUUUUCAAUGUAAUUUACUCCUUUUUUUCUUGUAUAAUGAACUUGAUCAAUGUAAAGAAAGUGUUGACAUAUAAACUUUGAUUUCUCUUGUACUUUGACAUUUCUAGAUAAUGGAGCAAAUGUUUCUUCUUCCA
Long non-coding RNA from Vicia villosa (hairy vetch), 1300 nucleotides. RefSeq lists it as uncharacterized. The record is from RefSeq and is a predicted model, not a curated record. NCBI's taxonomy places the organism in Eukaryota, Viridiplantae, Streptophyta, Magnoliopsida, Fabales, Fabaceae. The transcript has 3 exons.